UUUGUUUUAAGAUAUAAAGGGAUUUUUCAAAUAUUUUAAGGUAGAAUUUUAAUUUUUGAGAAAAACAAUAAAUUAAAACAUAAAAAUUAUAUUAUGGACCAGGAUUAGAUACCCUGUUACUUAUUAAUUAAAAAAUUUUGGAAUAGUAGUUAUUAUGAAAUUUAACUGAUUUGGCGGCAAAAUAGCCAUUUAGAGGAACCUGCCCUAUAAACGAUGAACCACGAAGUACCCUACUUUUAUUUGUAAACAGUUUGUAUACCUCUGUUGUCAGUCAGUUUUAUAAGAAAACUUUCUAUUAUGAUAAGAUCAUGAAAUUCAAGUAAAGGUGCAGCUUAUAUAAAAGAUAGAGGUGGGUUACAUUUAUAUGAUUAAAACGGAUAAAGAUAUUUGAAAAAACUUUUGAAGGCGGAUUUAAAUGUAAAGUUUAAGCAAACUUGAUGUGAGCUCUAUUUUGUGUACACACCGCCCGUCGCUCUCUUUUUUAAAA
This 487-nucleotide ribosomal RNA is filed under the name Trevathana dentata. Its description in RNAcentral is "partial 12S small subunit ribosomal RNA". Lineage: Eukaryota; Metazoa; Arthropoda; Thecostraca; Balanomorpha; Pyrgomatidae. The record is from RNAcentral.